Molecule: ribosomal RNA, 454 nt
Filed under: Salmonella enterica
Lineage: Bacteria; Pseudomonadati; Pseudomonadota; Gammaproteobacteria; Enterobacterales; Enterobacteriaceae
Description: bacterial SSU rRNA
Rfam family: Bacterial small subunit ribosomal RNA
Source: RNAcentral
AAGGCUAAAACUCAAAGGAAUUGACGGGGGCCCGCACAAGCGGCGGAGCAUGCGGAUUAAUUCGAUGCAACGCGAAGAACCUUACCAAGGCUUGACAUAUGCGAGAACGCGGCAGAGAUGUCGUUCUCUUUGGACACUCGCAUACAGGUGGUGCAUGGUUGUCGUCAGCUCGUGUCGUGAGAUGUUGGGUUAAGUCCCGCAACGAGCGCAACCCUCGUUCUAUGUUGCCAGCACGUGAUGGUGGGGACUCAUAGGAGACUGCCGGGGUCAACUCGGAGGAAGGUGGGGAUGACGUCAAAUCAUCAUGCCCCUUAUGUCUUGGGCUUCACGCAUGCUACAAUGGCCGGUACAAAGGGCUGCGAUACCGCGAGGUGGAGCGAAUCCCAAAAAACCGGUCUCAGUUCGGAUUGGGGUCUGCAACUCGACCCCAUGAAGUCGGAGUCGCUAGUAAUCG